RNAcentral lists this ribosomal RNA (379 nucleotides) under uncultured eukaryote. RNAcentral describes it as "SSU rRNA". It matches the Rfam family "Eukaryotic small subunit ribosomal RNA", at positions 587 to 972 of the family's 1831-position model. The record is from RNAcentral.
AGCUCCAAUAGCGUAUAUUAAAGUUGCUGCGGUUAAAAAGCUCGUAGUUGGAUCUCAGUUACGGGCAGGUGGUUCACCUCACGGUGCUACUACCUGGUCCGGACCUAUUGCUGGUGCCCCCUAGGUGCCCUUCGCUGGGUGCCUGGGGAGACCAGAGCGUUUACUUUGAAAAAAUUGGAGUGCUCAAAGCAGGCGAACGCCUGAACAGUCGUGCAUGGAAUAAUGGAAAAGGGCCUCGGUGCUAUUUUGUUGGUUCUCGGUACUCGAGGUAAUGGUUGAAGGGGACAGACGGGGGCAUUCGUAUUGCGACGUUAGAGGUGAAAUUCUUAGAUCGUCGCAAGACGGACUACUGCGAAAGCAUUUGCCAAGAAUGUUUUCA